Molecule: long non-coding RNA, 201 nt
Filed under: Elaeis guineensis (African oil palm)
Lineage: Eukaryota; Viridiplantae; Streptophyta; Magnoliopsida; Arecales; Arecaceae
Description: long non-coding RNA (EGUI_LNC016489)
Source: RNAcentral
CCUGUCACAGUAUUGCUGGAAUCUUGUAAUACUUACAUCUAUCUGAUCUUCAAAAACUAAUCAAGCACCGUCCAAGAAUUCAUUAGAAGAUCCUCAAAGACCCUUAAAUCCCAUAGGUCUAUUUGAGAGGUAUGGUAAUCUGUUCUAUAAUUUUCGAUUCAUUCAUAUGCCUCCAACUGGCUACAAACCUUGUCUGCUGCU